This 612-nucleotide long non-coding RNA is filed under the name Citrus x clementina. Its description in RNAcentral is "Citrus clementina (C. clementina) long non-coding RNA (CCLE_LNC005729)". The record is from RNAcentral. Lineage: Eukaryota; Viridiplantae; Streptophyta; Magnoliopsida; Sapindales; Rutaceae.
AGAUAUGAUCUUCAAACAAUUUGUUCUUUACUGACAAUAGGUAAGUAUAUCUUAAACUCUUUGAGUUAAUUUCACAAGGUACAAUUUCAAUUUUUUUUUCCCAAAUCAAAUCAUUUUCCCAUGGCCACCAAGGAAGGAAAAUGAGUGAUAACUUGAAAAAGGAGAAAAAGAGGGGAAAAACUUUAACUGCUUGAUGAUUCAACACCCUAUGGAUAUUGGACCGACCCCUUGCUUGUCAAACUCCUUUGUGUAAUAGUUGUUCAUAUAACUAAAUCCUCUCAAAUUAAGCUGGGUCUCUGCAGCGAGAUUAUUUGCAGAUCACCACGCAUAAACUCUCAAACAUUUAAUUUUGGAUAUAAGCAACAAAAAACAAAAAGGGAAGAAAUUCAGACAUAAGCACCUCUUAACUUCUUAUUAAACCAAUUACCAAUCAAUGUUUAAAAUUCAAAACAGAAAAAUAGAAGAGCGUGGUUACACCCAGAAUACCCAAAAUAAUAUAAGAAGAGCAUUUGAUAAGUGAAAUAAAAAAAAAAACCUUAAAUAAUACUAACCGAAGUCUUAACAACACCCAUUAAAGGCUGAGAACUGUUAUUAUAUGGGGCCAGGGACCAC